This 72-nucleotide transfer RNA is filed under the name Spraguea lophii 42_110. It matches the Rfam family "tRNA". Rfam says of the family: Transfer RNA (tRNA) molecules are approximately 80 nucleotides in length. Their secondary structure includes four short double-helical elements and three loops (D, anti-codon, and T loops). Further hydrogen bonds mediate the characteristic L-shaped molecular structure. tRNAs have two regions of fundamental functional importance: the anti-codon, which is responsible for specific mRNA codon recognition, and the 3' end, to which the tRNAs corresponding amino acid is attached (by aminoacyl-tRNA synthetases). tRNAs cope with the degeneracy of the genetic code in two manners: having more than one tRNA (with a specific anti-codon) for a particular amino acid; and 'wobble' base-pairing, i.e. permitting non-standard base-pairing at the 3rd anti-codon position. Lineage: Eukaryota; Fungi; Microsporidia; Spragueidae. The record is from Rfam by way of RNAcentral.
GACCGGAUGGCGCAACGGUAGCGCUUUCGACUCCAGAUCGAAUGGUUGGGGGUUCGAAUCCUUCUCCGGUCA